This 406-nucleotide unclassified non-coding RNA is filed under the name Metazoa environmental sample. RNAcentral's name for it is "sequence contains 5.8S rRNA gene, ITS2, 28S rRNA gene". The stretch from base 1 to 52 matches the Rfam family "5.8S ribosomal RNA", at positions 103 to 154 of the family's 154-position model. The record is from RNAcentral. Lineage: Eukaryota; Metazoa.
AACGCAAAUUGCACUGUUGGGUCCUCCCAGCAGUAUGUCUGUUUGAGUGUCAGCACUUUCCUUAAUAAUCAUCACUAUUUUUAUUAUUAAAAUGGUGGAUGAAUAUUGACAUUUUAUGAUCAUCAUCAUCAUCAUAAUGUGUUUAAGUAAAUUGGCUUUUUUUCUCUUUUUUUUCAAUUAAUGGAAGCACACUAUUUUAACAUGUAAUAGAUUAACCUCUGCUUACAUGCACAUUUUAAGCAAUAGCAAGGUGUUUUAUUAUUAUAAGUUGUGUUGCACCCAAGAAAGAAAAAAAGAGAAUUUCUUACUACUACUAAGAAAAAGAAGAAAGUCAUCAACAAUUACUAUUACAACAAAAUUUUAACAUCUUGACCUCAAAUUAGGCAAGGCUACCCGCUGAAUUUAA